ACGGCUCAGUAACACGUGGAUAACUUGCCCUCAGGUCUGGCAUAACCCCGGGAAACUGGGGAUAAUUCCGGAUAACGCAUAUGUGCUGGAAUGCUUUAUGCGUCAAAGGUCCUCCGCCUGAGGAUGGGUCUGCGGCCUAUCAGGUAGUAGCGGGUGUAAUGUACCUGCUAGCCGACGACGGGUACGGGUUGUGAGAGCAAGAGCCCGGAGAUGGAUUCUGAGACAUGAAUCCAGGCCCUACGGGGCGCAGCAGGCGCGAAAACUUUACAAUGCGGGAAACCGUGAUAAGGGGACACCGAGUGCCAGCAACAUUUGCUGGCUGUCCACGUGUGUAAACUACACGUGUUAGCAAGGGCCGGGCAAGACCGGUGCCAGCCGCCGCGGUAACACCGGCGGCCCGAGUGGUGAUCGUUAUUAUUGGGUCUAAAGGGUCCGUAGCCGGUUUGGUCAGUCUUCCGGGAAAUCUGUCAGCUCAACUGAUAGGCUAUCGGGGGAUACUGCUAGACUUGGAACCGGGAGAGGUAAGAGGUACUACAGGGGUAGGAGUGAAAUCUUGUAAUCCCUGUGGGACCACCUGUGGCGAAGGCGUCUUACCAGAACGGGUUCGACGGUGAGGGACGAAAGCUGGGGGCACGAACCGGAUUAGAUACCCGGGUAGUCCCAGCCGUAAACGAUGCUCGCUAGGUGUCAUGCAUGGUGCGACCGUGUAUGGUGCCGUAGGGAAGCCGUGAAGCGAGCCACCUGGGAAGUACGGCCGCAAGGCUGAAACUUAAAGGAAUUGGCGGGGGAG
This 790-nucleotide ribosomal RNA is filed under the name uncultured archaeon. RNAcentral's name for it is "bacterial SSU rRNA". It matches the Rfam family "Archaeal small subunit ribosomal RNA", at positions 85 to 876 of the family's 1478-position model. The record is from RNAcentral.